Non-coding RNA from Sus scrofa (pig), 4314 nucleotides. The record is from RefSeq and is a predicted model, not a curated record. NCBI's taxonomy places the organism in Eukaryota, Metazoa, Chordata, Mammalia, Artiodactyla, Suidae.
AGCCACGGGCCUUCGCCACAGCCACAGCAACGCGGGAUCUGAGCCGCAUCUGUGAGCUACACCACAGCUCAUGGCAAUGCCGGAUCCUUAACCCACUUAGAGAGGCCAGGGAUUGAACCUGCAAUCUCAUGGUUCCUAGCUGGGUUCAUUUUCGCUGUGCCACGACGGGAACUCCAAGGUAAUUUUUUCAUUGAAGUAUAAUAGACAAACCAUACCAUAUUAGUUUCAGGUGUACAAUUCCAGUGAUUUAUUAAUACUCAUUUUGAAAUGGUCACCACAAUAAGUCUAGUUACCAUCUGAAAAGGUAAUUUUUAAGACUCAGCAAAUUAACAUACCAAGCAACCUUCAUUUUUCUGAAACAUUUUAAGCUCAUUUCAAUGUUUUCAAUGAAAGACUUCUAAAAUAAAAGCGGAAAUCCCAAGCAAGAAAACGGAAACUAAAUGCAGUGUGGUGCCUAUGAAGUUCAUUGCAGAGAGUCAGGAAAAGGGUCCCGUUAACGACUUGCUUCUGCUCUGGGGGGAUUCGUGGAGAAAGAAGAAAAGAAAGAUGGAGCUUGUCUAUUUUAAUGUUAUUACCAAUAAAUCCAUGGCUAUUUUAGGGGAAUUUAGAUUUACGAUAGGCUCAAUCUGGCCCCUUUAUGCGGAUAGAAGUUUCGUCUCCUAUAAAUGAUACCCCUUCUCCUCACAGUGCAGCUGGCUUCAUUACACACGUUGCAUAGACACAGACAAGGGCUCACUGUCCUAUGCGCUAACACCUGAUUCAUGGGGUUUCUUGCUUUCUGUGCCAUCAGCAGAGGCAGCACAUUCACACCCGGCCUCCAGCCUCCCUGCAGGAGUUACCUCUGCGACCACUGGAAUUCCUAAGGCCAGAUGCAAACGUCCCACUUGUGACCCCGCUAGAGUCACACAGAAUGACGCUUUCUCUUUCCUCCUUAGUUACUGUGGGAAACGGAAACUGCUUAUUCAGGGAUGGUUUUCUGCAGUCUGGUGAACUGCUUGAGUUUCACUCAACAGCUCGAACAGGGAGGGGCUGGCUGGCCGGAGCUCUUGUACAUUUUCUCCCCAUUUCAGCCUCUGGUUGUCAAGGCCGGGCAGUGGGUGGAUGGAGUGGGGACUAGACCGUUGCCCUCAUCUCCUCAGGACGUGUCACCUGAAUAGCGAAAAGGAGGGACCACUGCAAAUGGUGCUGUCGGCAGUCGGAGAAUUCCAAGGUGUGCUGUCUGCUCUCCUUGAGCCUGGGCUGCCCGGCAAACAGCCUGCUGCAGAACCAAGGCAGAGGACUUCCACCACAUUGGUGAGCAGAAGUGAUGAGAACUGACAUCCUUAUCUUGCACCAAUCUUCAGGGAAAAGUGUGUUCAGUGCUUAACAGUGAAGUUUGACAUUAGCUUGGAUUUGUCAUGGAUGCCCUUUAUCAGAAGCUCCUUCUGUCUCUAAUUUGCUGAGAGCUUAUGAGUGAAUUUUGUCAAAUGUUUUUUCUGCAUCUAUUGAGAUGAUUACACGGUUUUCUUUUAUAUAAUGUAUAAAUACGGUGAAUCAUACUGAUUAAUUUCCAAUGUUCAACCAACUCUGCAUUCCUAUGAUAAACCCCAUUUGGUUAUAAUGUAUUAUCCUUUUUAUACAGUUGAUUAAUAUUUUAAAGGAUUUUUCUGUCUAUGAUCAUAAGGGAUAUUGGAUUAGUUUCCUUUUUGUAAUAACUUUGAUUUUGGUAUCGGGGUCAUUCUGGUUUCACAAAAUUAGUUGGGAAAUAUCCCUUCCUCAUCUAAUUUUUGAAAGAAUUGGGAGUUCCUGUUGCGGCACAGCAGAAAUGAAUCUGACUGCAACCAUGAGGUUGCAGGUUCGAUCCCUGGCUUUGCUCAGUGGGUUAAGGAUCCGGCAUUGCCAUGAGCUGUGGUGUAUAGGUCGCAGAUGUGGCUGCGAUCUGGCAUUGCUGUGGCUGUGGUGUAGGCUGGCAGCUGUAGCUCCGAUUCGACCCCUAGCCUGGGAACCUCCAUAUGGCACAGGUGGCUCUAAAAAGCAAAAAAAAAAAAAAAAAAAAAAAAAAGAAUUGGACUAAGUAUCUUCAUUUCUUUGGGUAUUAUUUUUUCGUUAAAGUAUGGUAGAAUUUACCAGUGAAGCCAGCUGGGCCUGGAGCUUUUUUCCUAGUAAGCUUCUGAAUUACAAAUAUUUUUUUUCUCAUUAAACAUUCCCUGGACAAGAUGAUCAUUAAGAAAUACUCAGCUUGACUAUCUGAAAAUGCUAUAUAAGAACCAAGUGCAUGAUAAUUUUAAAAUUUAUACAUUUUGAUAAGCAAGGUGGUUUAAAAUAGUCACAAAGGUCACAGAUUACCCACAAUUAUGAACAAUACCAUAACGUGUUCAACUGUAUCCUAAAUUUAAUACUUGUGAGAGUUUGUGAGUUAGACUAUACAUGCACAUGCUGGGACGAUUUCUUUCCCUAACAUGCCUGGUGCCUAUAAAACUGGUCUCAAACAUCUGGAAAGAUUGGCUUUACAAAAUGAAGAUGGAAUAGAAAGGAGUCCACAAUUAAAUACCACGUUCAGCAAUUGGGGAAACGGUUCACAAACUUGAAUUUCCCUGAUGUAUUGUUGAACAAACUGCCUGGAGCACAUUUUCACAUCUACUUUCUGAAUGUUUUCCACAACUGAGAAACUCAUAUGGUCUCUUUUGUUUCCCUGCCUCCUGGGGACAGAAACUUGGCAACUGUGCUUGGGGUAUUUUAAUCAGGUAAGUUUUCCUGGUUCUUCCUGUUAAUCACAUCGGACAGCGCAGCGCAGCAUUUGCUUGCAAUGUGAAACAGAGAGUUACUCUCCAGACGAGGUUCAUAACCCUUUAUGAGUCCUUUCCCCUGUCAUCUCUCCCCCGAAUGGGAGCUUUUUUGGCAAGAAACGUGCUGAGCCCCAGAGCCAGCAAACAGAGACACACCGUCUCCUUCGCUAAGAAAGCAGCGGUGCUGACGAAGGGCCCCGCCAUCGGCGGUCAGGAUGCAGACCGCUGGCUGCGCGGACUCGGCAGGGAGAAGGUCGGGGGUCUCGUAAACCUACAGGCUCAACCAGACCUUUAAUGCCACAGACGUUUGAGACAGCAUCUGGAGUCUAAUAUCACAAUAGCUGGCUGGGGAAUUUGAUCAUUUCGGGUUUCUUACUCUAUCCGCACAGUGCCGCUGGGGAAGCUGGAAGUGAAAAAACAGCCGCUUUCGUCUCUAUCUUUAUAGAACCUGACCACUCGUCAGCGUCUUCUUUGCUUCUUAGGUGAAAACCCGAGCGAUAAGAUCUACGAGCGUGGAACUAAACACUAACUUAAAAAUGGACAACAAUCUAAGUUCAGGACCCAAAGCAAUCACUGAAAGAGGGUGCCUGGAAGAUAGAAAGCUCACUGCCAAGACGAGAACUGUCCUCUCCUGGAGCUGUAGAAGUUCCUGCUGUUUCCUUCUCUGUCUCUCUCUCUGUUUGACGAAGGGAAAUUAUCGAGGGGAUAUGAAAGAUUCAAAAAAAAAAAAAAGUUUCUAUUUUUACACAAGACAACACUAACAGAGUUUAGUUCUAGUAACGAUGGAAGGGAAUUACUGCAAGAAUUCAAUAAUACGCAUGGAACAACACGCAUAUGGAUGGCCCACAGUAACUCACUCAUGUACGUAUGGCGGGUGUCUUCUACUAUUAUCUCAUUAUCGCCAUUCUCCUACUUAAACCACCUGACUGUAUGUUAACCAAUGAACCACCAAACAAACGUGUACCGGUCACUUCUUGUGUACCUAGUACUCAAACAUCAGCAAAGAAUUAAAAAUGUCUAGUUCGGAAGGUUUAAUGGUACCAACAUUUACUGAGCACCUCCUCUACGCCCGGCACUCUCUGUGCAUUGAUUUACUUGUAUUAUUUCCUUUAAUCCCUGAAGCAUCUCUUCGUGGUAGAUACUAGAUACUAGUAAGUGCAAUACUUAAAUAAUGUUCUUAGGCUUGUCAUUUAGAGAUCGCAACACCCUAAAGUUUUAUUUUACGAUUAAGAACAACUUUUUAGAAUAUAAGGGAUACUGGUAACCCUUCGAACUCUUCAGCUUACAGAUCAAAGAUGCUGAAAAGUUUGAAUGAUUUAUUGAAAACAAUGCAGCAAAUAUUUAAAAUUUUUCUUGUAGGUCAUCAGAUCCUACGAUCAGAUUACCAGAUUGUUCUUAAAGAAAGCCCUUCCUUGAAAGAGAUAUGGAGCAGAUAUAACAAUAUAUUAGCACUGACUGAUUGCUGGGGUUGGGGACAAAUAAUAUUUGUAGUUUUUCCCUGAGUUUUUCUGUAUCUCUAAAUUUUUUGAUUAAAAAAAAAAUUGCUUCA